Molecule: long non-coding RNA, 396 nt
Organism: Oncorhynchus tshawytscha (Chinook salmon)
Lineage: Eukaryota; Metazoa; Chordata; Actinopteri; Salmoniformes; Salmonidae
Source: Ensembl
UGGAGGAUAUAUACAGGGGGUACCGGUACAGAGUCAAUGUGGAGACUAUAUACAGGGGGUACCGGUACAGAGUCAAUGUGGAGGUUAUAUACAGGGGGUACCGGUACAGAGUCAAUGUGGAGGUUAUAUACAGGGGGUACCGGUACAGAGUCAAUGUGGAGGCUAUAUACAGGGGGUACCGGUAAAGAGUCAAUGUGGAGGAUAUAUACAGGGGGUACCAGUACAGAGUCAAUGUGGAGGCUAUAUACAGGGGGUACCGGUACAGAGUCAAUGUGGAGGCUAUAUACAGGGAGUACCGGUACAGAGUCAAUGUGGAGGCUAUAUACAGGGGGUACCGGUACAGAGUCAAUGUGGAGACUAUAUACAGGGGGUACCGGUACAGAGUCAAUGUGGAGG